Molecule: ribosomal RNA, 800 nt
Filed under: Brachybacterium sp. JSM 075038
Lineage: Bacteria; Bacillati; Actinomycetota; Actinomycetes; Micrococcales; Dermabacteraceae
Description: bacterial SSU rRNA
Rfam family: Bacterial small subunit ribosomal RNA
Source: RNAcentral
UUACACCAGCACGUCGAACGAUGACGGUGGUGCUUGCACCGCCUGAUUAGUGGCGAACGGGUGAGUAACACGUGAGUAACCUGCCCUCCACUUCGGAAUAACCUCGGGAAAUCGUGGCUAAUACCGGAUACGAGCACUCAUCGCAUGGUGGGUGUUGGAAAGAUUUAUCGGUGGGGGAUGGACUCGCGGCCUAUCAGUUUGUUGGUGAGGUGAUGGCUCACCAAGACGAUGACGGGUAGCCGGCCUGAGAGGGCGACCGGCCACACUGGGACUGAGACACGGCCCAGACUCCUACGGGAGGCAGCAGUGGGGAAUAUUGCACAAUGGGCGAAAGCCUGAUGCAGCGACGCCGCGUGGGGGAUGACGGCCUUCGGGUUGUAAACCCCUUUCAGUAGGGAAGAAGCGAGAGUGACGGUACCUGCAGAAGAAGCGCCGGCUAACUACGUGCCAGCAGCCGCGGUAAUACGUAGGGCGCAAGCGUUGUCCGGAAUUAUUGGGCGUAAAGAGCUUGUAGGUGGCUUGUCGCGUCUGCCGUGAAAACCCGAGGCUCAACCUCGGGCGUGCGGUGGGUACGGGCAGGCUAGAGUGUGGUAGGGGAGACUGGAACUCCUGGUGUAGCGGUGAAAUGCGCAGAUAUCAGGAAGAACACCGAUGGCGAAGGCAGGUCUCUGGGCCAUUACUGACACUGAGAAGCGAAAGCAUGGGUAGCGAACAGGAUUAGAUACCCUGGUAGUCCAUGCCGUAAACGUUGGGCACUAGGUGUGGGGGACAUUCCACGUUUUCCGCGCCGUAGCUAACGC